UUUAUCAAAAACAUAGCCUUUAGCAACAUAAGUAUUGAAGGUCCUGCCUGCCCAGUGAAAUUUUUUAACGGCCGCGGUAUUCUAACCGUGCAAAGGUAGCGUAAUCACUUGUCUUCUAAAUAAAGACCAGUAUGAAUGGCUAAAUGAGGACAGACCUGUCUCCUACAACUAAUCAGUGAAACUGAUCUCCCAGUCCAAAAGCUGGGAUAUUAACAUUAGACGAGAAGACCCUGUGGAGCUUUAAACCCACCAAGUAAUUAAACAACUGACAAGGUUUUAAGUUGGGGCGACUUCGGAACAAAACAAAACUUCCGAGCACAGAAUCACCAAUUCUAACCAAGGCAAACAGGCCAAAGCAAAAACUGACCCAGUAAAACUGAUCAACGAACCAAGUUACCCCAGGGAUAACAGCGCCAUCCUCUUCAAGAGUCCAUAUCGACAAGAGGGUUUACGACCUCGAUGUUGGAUCAGGGCACCCAAAUGGUGCAGCCGCUAUUAAAGGUUCGUUUGUUCAACGAUUAACAGCCCUACGUGAUCUGAG
Molecule: ribosomal RNA, 541 nt
Filed under: Lerista lineopunctulata
Lineage: Eukaryota; Metazoa; Chordata; Lepidosauria; Squamata; Scincidae
Description: partial 16S ribosomal RNA
Rfam family: Bacterial large subunit ribosomal RNA
Source: RNAcentral